GUGGGGAAUCUUCCGCAAUGGACGAAAGUCUGACGGAGCAACGCCGCGUGAGUGAAGAAGGUUUUCGGAUCGUAAAGCUCUUUCGUUAGGGACGAACGUGCUCUUUGUGAAUAAUGAGGAGUAAUGACGGUACCUAAAUAAGAAGCCACGGCUAACUACGUGCCAGCAGCCGCGGUAAUACGUAGGUGGCAAGCGUUGUCCGGAAUUAUUGGGCGUAAAGCGCGCGCAGGCGGGAUAUCAAGUCUGUCUUAAAAGUGCGAGGCUCAACCUCGUGGGGGGACAGAAACUGGUAUUCUUGAGUGUCGGAGAGGAAAGUGGAAUUCCAAGUGUAGCGGUGAAAUGCGUAGAGAUUUGGAAGAACACCAGUGGCGAAGGCGACUUUCUGGACGAUGUCUGACGCUGAGGCGCGAAAGCUAGGGGAGCGAACGGGAUUAGAAACCCUGGUAGUCC
This 450-nucleotide ribosomal RNA is filed under the name uncultured bacterium. RNAcentral's name for it is "partial 16S ribosomal RNA". It matches the Rfam family "Bacterial small subunit ribosomal RNA", at positions 354 to 796 of the family's 1533-position model. The record is from RNAcentral.